This 840-nucleotide long non-coding RNA is filed under the name Panax ginseng (ginseng). RNAcentral describes it as "long non-coding RNA (PGIN_LNC016384)". Lineage: Eukaryota; Viridiplantae; Streptophyta; Magnoliopsida; Apiales; Araliaceae. The record is from RNAcentral.
GGAAAUGCUUACUGAAAUAUAUGUUCCAUUUAGACUCUUCUAAAGGGAGUGCAAGAAAAAUCACUAUGUGAUGAACAAAAUUGGGGGCAAUACUCAAUUAAAUCAGGUCCAAAACAUCAUAUGAAAAACAACCCAUUAUUCGAAAUCCAUAUGACAAAUUGAUGCUACAUUAAAGAGAGGAAAUAGACAAUAAUCCAUAAACAAAAAUUAUUAACAACAUGAAAAUAUGUUGUUAAAUCGGAGAAAUGAAUUCACAAACCUGCUGCACUGUUGAAAAAACCUCUGCAUCUACUUCCCCACUAAGGCCUUAGUGGUCGACGCCGGUGCUGUUGGUGACGAUGAGGCCAAGCGACGGGAGGCGGCGGAGGAUAAGCAACCAUGAAUCAACAGCGUGAUCGCAGGGCGGGUGACGAUACUGUGUGCGCCGCUGCCGGAGCUCCAGUUCCUCUACGGCCUCCCUCAACCGAUCCUCAGCUUCCCGAAGGCGUGUCUCCAAGGCGGCGCCGUCGGCGGCCUCGAGCGGAGACGGGACAGAUGAGAAGUUGGGGGGUUCAGAGAGAGAUCUCUGCAUCUGCAGUGCUAUCAAGUGAAGAAGAGAUGAAGACACGAUUGAAUUUAAUCAAAAAAGGAACGGAAGAGGAAGAGGUAUUGAAGGGUUUGGAGAGAGAGAAAGGAGAGUUGGGCGGUUUAGAGAGAGAAAGUGAGAUUUUGAAACCAUUGGGUUGAUUGAGAAGAUGGAAGAGUGAGUAAGGGUAAGGGUAAGGGUAAGGGAAAGGGAAAGAAACUGAAAGUGAAAGAAGAAGAGGAAGAGAAAGAGGCACCGCCGGUUUUGGAAAUGAA